UACGGGGGGGAGCAAGCGUUGUUCGGAUUUACUGGGCGUAAAGGGCGCGUAGGCGGCGUGACAAGUCACUUGUGAAAUCUCCGGGCUUAACUCGGAACGGUCAAGUGAUACUGUCGUGCUAGAGUACAGAAGGGGCAACUGGAAUUCUCGGUGUAGAGGUGAAAUUCGUAGAUAUUCGGAAGAACACCAGUGGCGAAGGCGGCUCACUGGACCGGUAUUGACGCUGAGGAGCGAAAGCGUGGGGAGCGAACAGG
Molecule: ribosomal RNA, 254 nt
Filed under: uncultured bacterium
Lineage: Bacteria
Description: partial 16S ribosomal RNA
Rfam family: Bacterial small subunit ribosomal RNA
Source: RNAcentral